GCCUCCAUGGUCCAGUUGGAUAACUGUCUCCUCCUUGAAAAACAAAAGUUAGGAGGCGACAAAAAUAUGGCGAGGGUUCGAAUCCCUCUGGAGGCA
Mycena belliarum is the source of this 96-nucleotide non-coding RNA. NCBI's taxonomy places the organism in Eukaryota, Fungi, Basidiomycota, Agaricomycetes, Agaricales, Mycenaceae. The record is from the annotation of a GenBank genome assembly.